RNAcentral lists this long non-coding RNA (2103 nucleotides) under Helianthus annuus (common sunflower). Its description in RNAcentral is "hypothetical non coding rna". Lineage: Eukaryota; Viridiplantae; Streptophyta; Magnoliopsida; Asterales; Asteraceae. The record is from RNAcentral.
AUCCGAUUGUAUGGUAUCAACAUUACUUCGAACCCUAAUUCGCAUCACUGAAAGAUCUUCAAUAACAAGAUGUCUUUUGAACCCACUUGCUCACGUAAAUCUUUAGUAUUACGUGUGCAUUUGAUGAAUCUUGGAAGACUUGGGAGCUCGGGGUGGAAUUAUUUCCGACGUUGGACUUCUUUGAGACACAAAUGUCAUCCACACCAAGGCGUGGUAAAAGCGAAAAGGAAGAAAGAUCGGUAAGGCUCAUGAUCAGGUUAGUUGCUUAAUCUUUGAUAAUGAAAUUUGUCGAAACGUGUGACUAACUCAAUGUUCUAGAUAACAAAUCACCCGCGACAACGAAGGCUGCAUCCGAAUUUUUCCCCACAACUUCAGCACGUCAUAAAAGAGGUCAUAUCGCAGUGUGGUGACGUCGAAGUGAGCAACUGUAGUAGAGUCGGUGGUCUCAGAUGUUGGCGAGACAGGGGUUUAGGUCUGAAUUGCACUGAUGGUUGCUAAGGUGUGGAUGAUGCCGACGACUAGGGUUGUUGUCGAGUGUAGAUGGUGGUUGAUUGGAAUUUAGGCUUUUGCGCUAACUCUCCAUUGGAGUAGUCGAGAAUCGUCAUCAAUCAACAAACACCAGGUGAAAGCCAUUAAGCGGCUAUGAUGGGAUUUCUUGCUUUUUUUUUUUAUAAGAAAGGCGAUUCUAACCUUUGAAUGAUUACCUUUGGAUGGUGCGUUCAAUGGUCAUGUACUUGACUAUUGUUUUGCAAGGCUACCAUGGUUGUUGGGCUGGUAAUGUUGUUAGAUUUGUGUUGAUAUGGUUACCUAUGAGUUUUACAACUUCCUUCCUUUCGCCUUUUCAGUUUUUUUAUACAUCUUAUAUACAUCUUAUAUGCUGGUCUUUCUUUGAAGGAUUUUGCACAUGAGCAUUUUUAUGUUUCUUGAGGAAUCGUCCUAUCUAGCCAUGAUGGAUUAUGUUUGAUAUCAAUGUCUAUGAUGAUUUGUAUGAGUUCAAAGAAACAUGAAUUUUUAUGUCUAUUGGUGCGACAACUAAGGUAUUUUUUUUGUUUAGAAGGCAAUCUCUUAGUAUGCAGCCAUAGAGCAUAAUCUUUAUUUCUUAAAAUCUUUGCAUUUCUGAGCCUAUGAUGUUACGUUUUUUAAGGUUAUUGACGCUUAUAUUUUUUCCAUCCACGGUAGUUGUUCAUGUUUGUAGGAUAUGGUGAUGGGUUUGAGGUUAAAUGCGAAUGAAUUUACUUUUACCAUGAUUGUGUGUCUGUGGGCUAUGAUAAUUUGUUUUAGUUCAAAGUAAGCUGAGUUCGGUUUUAAGUUCUGGAAUAAUUUAUUUAUCAAUGUAACUUCAUGUGCGUAUGCUUCACAAAAUGAUGAAGAUAUGAUCUACAUAUAUAAUGCUUACUUACACAAGCUGGUAACAUCUUUUCUAUCUCAUCCACUUGCAAGAUACAAGGUUAGUCAUGUUCAUGUUCCUUGAUAAUUUAUUGACAUUUGAUACUACACCAUCUUUUGAGCUUUAGUGAGUAAGAUGAUUUAUGCUCUAUAUGAUGUUUUUUCACAUGGUUGGUAGGUGAAAGGAACAGAGGAGAUGGCCACACCUUCUCAGAAAAUUAGAUGAAAAUCUAUAUAGCCCUGAAAAUUGUUGGUACCUUUGUUCCUUUUAUGUUCAUCUUCUCCGCGCUUUGCGAGGCGUGUUUUCUGCCAGUACUGGAUCGGUUCGUUACUUUAUCGGUACGAUGCCGACAUUCAGUAUAGCAACUGACCAUCAGUUGAAAACCAUAAAAAUGCAUGUCGAUACUAGUUUUUAACAGCUUUGGUUUGGAGAAACAGAAGGCUCUUCAUCUUGGAAUGCUGCCACAGCCCAUGUCUUGACAGUGAUGGUUCGGGUCGGAUCAUGGAUAAACUUUGUCAACGACAUUCAACUACGGUCAAUCACAGUCAAGAGUGGUCCAUCUGAAGGUUGUUAUAGUUAAUAUCAUCCUAGGCACUCAUGUAUGGGCAGAAGACCUAGCAAUAUGUUGAGUGGUGGAGGUUGCGACUAAUUUUGUUGAGCCGAAUUUCGAAGGAGUCGUUUCUUUGACUGUUUUGGAAUGUGGAACAUCGGACUAG